This is a small nucleolar RNA of Oryctolagus cuniculus (rabbit), 101 nucleotides long. The record is from Ensembl. Lineage: Eukaryota; Metazoa; Chordata; Mammalia; Lagomorpha; Leporidae.
AGGGGCUUGUUCUAAGCAUGAUGAUUGGGUUGAUCACACGGCUGUGUGAGAUGUGCCUCCCUCUAAACCUUGUUACGACGCCUCACAUGACCCGUCCAACA